RNAcentral lists this ribosomal RNA (460 nucleotides) under uncultured bacterium. RNAcentral's name for it is "partial 16S ribosomal RNA". It matches the Rfam family "Bacterial small subunit ribosomal RNA", at positions 338 to 795 of the family's 1533-position model. The record is from RNAcentral.
CCUACGGGAGGCAGCAGUGAGGAAUAUUGGUCAAUGGGCGGGAGCCUGAACCAGCCAAGUAGCGUGAAGGAUGACUGCCCUACGGGUUGUAAACUGCUUUUAUACGGGAAUAACGCGCCUUACGUGUAGGGCUUUGCAUGUACCUUAUGAAUAAGGACCGGCUAAUUCCGUGCCAGCAGCCGCGGUAAUACGGAGGGUCCGGGCGUUAUCCGGAUUUAUUGGGUUUAAAGGGAGCGUAGGCCGGAUGUCAAGCGUGCUGUGAAAGGUUCGGGCUCAACCGUGGACUUGCAGUGGGGACUGGCGGGCUUGAGUACGCGGGAAGCAGGCGGAAUUCGUGGUGUAGCGGUGAAAUGCUUAGAUAUGACGAAGAACCCCGAUUGCGAAGGCAGCUUGCUGCAGCGGCACUGACGCUGAUGCUCGAAAGCGUGGGUAUCGAACAGGAUUAGAUACCCGUGUAGUC